Molecule: transfer RNA, 77 nt
Filed under: Candidatus Celaenobacter polaris
Lineage: Bacteria; Pseudomonadati; Candidatus Cloacimonadota; Cloacimonadia (SeqCode)
Description: tRNA-Met
Rfam family: tRNA
About the family: Transfer RNA (tRNA) molecules are approximately 80 nucleotides in length. Their secondary structure includes four short double-helical elements and three loops (D, anti-codon, and T loops).
Source: RNAcentral
GGCGAUGUAGCUCAGCUGGUUAGAGCAUCGGAAUCAUAAUCCGAGUGUCCGGGGUUCAAAUCCCUGCAUCGCUACCA